RNAcentral lists this ribosomal RNA (675 nucleotides) under Curtobacterium sp. RNAcentral's name for it is "bacterial SSU rRNA". The record is from RNAcentral. Lineage: Bacteria; Bacillati; Actinomycetota; Actinomycetes; Micrococcales; Microbacteriaceae.
CGGCGACCCUUACACAUGCAAGUCGAACGAUGAUGCCCAGCUUGCUGGGUGGAUAAGUGGCGAACGGGUGAGUAACACGUGAGUAACCUGCCCCUGACUCUGGGAUAAGCGUUGGAAAUAUAUACGUCUAAUACUGGAUAUGAUCACUGGCCGCAUGGUCUGGUGGUGGAAAGAUUUUUUGGUUGGGGAUGAACUCGCGGCCUAUCAGCUUGUUGGUGAGGUAAUGGCUCACCAAGGCGACGACGGGUAGCCGGCCUGAGAGGGUGACCGGCCACACUGGGACUGAGACACGGCCCAAACUCUACGGGAGGCAGCAGUGGGGAAUAUUGCACAAUGGGCGAAAGCCUGAUGCAGCAACGCCGCGUGAGNNAUGACGGCCUUCGGGUUGUAAMCCUCUUUUAGUAGGGAAGAAGCGAGAGUGACGGUACCUGCAGAAAAAGCACCGGCUAACUACGUGCCAGCAGCCGCGGUAAUACGUAGGGUGCAAGCGUUGUCCGGAAUUAUUGGGCGUAAAGAGCUCGUAGGCGGUUUGAAACGUCUGCUGUGAAAUCCCGAGGCUCAACCUCGGGCUUGCAGUGGGUACGGGCAGACUAGAGUGCGGUAGGGGAGAUUGGAAUUCCUGGUGUAGCGGUGGAAUGCGCAGAUAUCAGGAGGAACACCGAUGGCGAAGGCAGA